Molecule: long non-coding RNA, 148 nt
Organism: Thalassophryne amazonica
Lineage: Eukaryota; Metazoa; Chordata; Actinopteri; Batrachoidiformes; Batrachoididae
Exons: 3
Source: RefSeq, a predicted model, not a curated record
GGGUUGGGGGGGCUAUAGAAUGCUUUAGAGUGCUGGGAAAAAGAGGACAUGGAAAAUGUCCUUGUUUUUCCCAGUCUCCUGAUAUUGAAGGUGUGUUAUCAUAAAAAUGUCCUGAAUUGUCAUGAAAACAAAUGACGAAAAAGAGUAC